RNAcentral lists this ribosomal RNA (253 nucleotides) under uncultured bacterium. Its description in RNAcentral is "partial 16S ribosomal RNA". It matches the Rfam family "Bacterial small subunit ribosomal RNA", at positions 524 to 776 of the family's 1533-position model. The record is from RNAcentral.
UACGUAGGGUGCAAGCGUUAUCCGGAAUUACUGGGCGUAAAGAGCGUGUAGGCGGUGCUGUAAGUCAACCGUGAAAGCUCCCGGCUAAACUGGGAGAGGUCGGAUGAGACUGCAGCGCUAGUGGGUCGUAGAGGAAUGUGGAAUUCCGGGUGUAGUGGUGAAAUGCGUAGAUAUCAGGAGGAACACCUGCGGUGUAGACGGCUUACUGGACCAUAACUGACGCUGAGGCACGAAAGCGUGGGUAGCAAACAGG